UGGAGAUUAUGUCCAACGUGGUGCUCUGUCUAUUUUGCUUGUCAUCCAAUGAAUAUAUGCAGGCUGAGAGAUAAUCAUUUGACCCCAGCACUUCGCUAGAAAUUCAUACUUAAGAAAGUACCUGCUGGACUCAAAAAUUCUCCACAGUAAUCAGACAUAUUGACUGGAAGCUGCUGCUGGUCUCUGCCUGGGUAAUUAAGGAGCUCGUUGCUCCUUAUUAAGGUGCCGCGGGGGCAGAUGGGCCUCGGCACGGGACGUUACUGCCCCGGAGCGCCGGCCGCGGGAGU
Long non-coding RNA from Nothoprocta perdicaria, 287 nucleotides. RefSeq lists it as uncharacterized. The transcript has 3 exons. The record is from RefSeq and is a predicted model, not a curated record. Lineage: Eukaryota; Metazoa; Chordata; Aves; Tinamiformes; Tinamidae.